Molecule: unclassified non-coding RNA, 346 nt
Filed under: soil metagenome
Description: partial contains 5.8S ribosomal RNA, internal transcribed spacer 2, and large subunit ribosomal RNA
Rfam family: 5.8S ribosomal RNA (bases 1-119)
Source: RNAcentral
GAUGAAGAACGCAGCGAAAUGCGAUAAGUAAUGCGAAUUGCAGAAUCCGUGAGUCAUCGAAUCUUUGAACGCACAUUGCGCCCGCUGGUAUUCCGGCGGGCAUGCCUGUUCGAGCGUCAUUUCAACCCUCAAGCCCCCGGGUUUGGUGUUGGGGAUCGGCUCUGCCCUUCUGGGCGGUGCCGCCCCCGAAAUACAUUGGCGGUCUCGCUGCAGCCUCCAUUGCGUAGUAGCUAACACCUCGCAACUGGAACGCGGCGCGGCCAUGCCGUAAAACCCCAACUUCUGAAUGUUGACCUCGGAUCAGGUAGGAAUACCCGCUGAACUUAAGCAUAUCAAAAGCGGAGGA